GGAAACUGCACAUUGGAUUUAAGUACAAAAACGGUAUGGAUGUGUGUUUGUUUGUUUGUUUUUUAGCACUUUAGACACGUUAAACGUUACUCGAUUCAGUCUGCCUGUCUGUGACGUCAUCAGUACGCAGCGGCAGCCGCGCGAAACUCUGAACAACAACAAAACACAGCGUGGAGGAGACGACUGCGAGCGAGACAUUUACAAACCAACUUAUGGAUCCAGCGCGUGGAAACAUUUUGGCUUUUGCAAACACGUCGGUCGCUGUUUGUAGAAUAUGUAGAAGCCAAAUAAAAAACCACGGAAACACGACGAAUCUUUCCGGCCAUCUACUAAGGCGCCGUGGGAUGAAACAACGCCGACAGUCAGGACCUCUAGCAGCGUCACCGCUGCAGCAGCAGCAGGUUGAGGUCACCCUCCACACAAAAGAAUAAAAACUACAAGUCCCAGACAGAAAGGUUGUACCUAAAGAAAUCAAAACAUAUAUGUGUUAUUUAUUUUAUUCAUCUAACUCUAAAUACUCCUGUGUUUUCAGAAACAUCAAUGCACACAAACUGAUCCAAUUAUGUUCACUGCAGAAAAACAGGAUAAUUCACAUGCAUUUUCGAAUGAAAACAAAACACAUAAAUAUCACAUGAACAUGUGACACUGAAGGACGGAUGGUUUGAGUUAAGGUGAGAAAAGGCACCUCUCUCUACAGUGCAUGCUCUCAUUGUUUCAUUGUUCUGACUGGCUUCUUUCAACCAAACGUGGUUCAUGGUGGCUCAAGUGUAAACUACAGUACAUUGCAGGAAGGAAGGGGGACCUGGCUGUGGGGGUUGGGAGCACGAUCCCAGACCAUAAAACCUGGCAGCCGCCCUCCUGCAUUGUUCGCCACCACCAUUCCGGCCCAGUUUCUCUGUUUUCUCCCUGGGCUCCGUGUAUCCUGUCCUUCAAGAGGCAGUAAAUGUUGUUGUUGUUCAUAAGACACACAUGGCCGAUGGAGCUGCUCGUCUGCCUUUGUUCCUUCGACGAAGGCAGGAAGAAGGUUGUGGCAGAAGAGCAGAUUAAUAACCUGGUUACACAGUUGGAGUCAGGAUUCAUAUGGGUCCAAUCAGAAACACAUCAGGUUACACGCAGCAUGUAUUAGAUUUAUAGAGAGCACAAUAAGAACAUACAAUUUCAGCCUUUCAGGUGGAUGCAAACAGAUCCAAAUCUCCUCUUCUAGCACCACCUUGUGGUGGACUGAACUGUCUUCUCUAGCUUCAAAAACAUUGGCUGCUGCAGUGUCUUAAAUCCCCAGAAACACACAGGAACUCAAACUGGAAAUGAUUCAUGCACCUUGUGCAAAACAAUGUGCAAAAAACAACAAAGCAACAAUUGUUUUGAAUAUGUUUUGAACGAGUAUAAAUUAGGUACAAAUAAAAAUGUAUGAAUAACAAAAAUAAUAGAACAUGUAAUCACAAAAUGAAAAUCCCUGCAGUGAAAAUUUCUAAUCACUACUUACUUUUUAAUGGAGACUUCCACUGAAUGUGACUUGAAAUAAGAACUGUUCACUUAACUUUUCUAUCGUGAAUGAAUUCCGGGUUCUGUACGUGACUGCAGCAGGAGGGAACAACUUUAGUGGAAUGCAGAUGCUUCUCUCUCUCACUCUAUCUAUGUGAUUUAAGGCUGUCAGGGAAGCCACGCAGCAGCGGCCCCAGACAGAAGGCCGGCCAUGACAAUGAAGCUGGAGCCCUGCAGGAACCGCUCCCUCUGCUGGCCAGGCACAGAGGGAACCCCAAAACCCUGCAAGACAACCUGACUCCAUCCUGUGUGGUACAAUUACAUCGCCCGAAACAUUACAGGAAAUGGCAGCCAAAUUCCUGGGAAAUGAAUGAAGAGGAAAUCUGCGAGUGGCAGCCUACCACGAGAUCGCUCUGAAAGGAGAGGGUGGAAAAGACAUGGCCCCUUUCUGCAACAUGGACCCGGGCCAGGGCUCACUAGAGCACCGAGAUGAAGAGUUACAGCACCUCUCAAACCCAACCGGCUGGAGUGAUAAAUACCCGGCUCUAAUGCACAUGCUUAAGAGUUUUUGACUGUAAAUAAAGUCAUGGGAGACAUGUUGUACUUACAUGGAGAAAAGCCUUGAGGAAAUGGCUUCCCCCCUUGAAAGCGACGAAUGGGUGUGUAUGUCUGCAGCCAAUCAGGAUGUAACUUCAUGAAGCCUGUUUUUUUAUCCCCGGUGGCCUCGUUGCUUUUUUUUUUUCCUCUUGCGUGUGAUAACGUCACUUAAUAUUUCUUAAUAUAUGAUCCAACCAUAUUUGACUCAUAUUAAUUAAAUCCUUUCUCAGAUGUUCAAUUUUUAAAAUAAAUGAACAAAGUCGUCUUUCUUUACUAUAAAAGAGGCAAAGGAAACUGUCAUGUGAGUAUUGUCAGAUGAUUGGGAGGACAGUAAAUAUAUAUAUACUGUGUAUAGUUAAUAUAGAGCUUUUAAUCAUGAUCAUCAAAGUAUCAUCCAUCUCUGUGUGCAAACACUGGUGACACCUUUAUUGCCUUUGAUGAUACAUUAUUCCUGUCAAAACGAGGUGAUAAUCAACUCAUUUCCACAGCACCUAUCGAUAUCGUAGACAAAUCUUUGUUCGAGCACCAUUUUAAAAAAACUGUUACAGUUAGACACCUCGAAAGGUAAUCAUAUUAUUAGUUUUGAACUAAAUAUGAGCUGCAAUGUGUGACAACGUAAUACAAAACCGACGGUUGAGAACAGUAGAGAGAAAAGACACAUUGUGCCCACAUUGUUAAAGCAAGUAACAUAAAUAACCUCUCAUGUGCCACUACGCACUACACCCUGCGGGCCCGACCGCUAUUUCAUUCUUCAGACUGAUAUCAAUAGUUGGCGAAAUGGGGACAACCACAUAUUACAGUCGGAAAUUCAACUUGUCAGUGCUCUCUGGUGGCCGAUGCAGCGGUGACACUGUUUUGUUUUGCAAUUUUGCGCUGCUUGUUGACCAACAUGUACACCGUUGCUGAUGUAUAAAUAUAUCAGUCGCAGAUAAAAAACAACAUGUUCUCAUUCAGCACAUAUGGACGUUUGGUCCGGAUGCCUUCGGUUUACAGCACUGGGAAUCCAGACAAAACAAGGCCUUCUUGGUUAAGUUUAGGCCACAAAACUGCUGGUUCUGUUUAAAAUAAGUAUGUUUGUAGGGUAAAGUACAGAAGACUAAACGUCAUAGACGUAAUCAUUUUGUCCACUUACCUUUAUUUUGUCUGUAUGUAUUUUUGUAAAGAACAGCUUCACUGUCACCAUUUAGGGAACCAUCAAGUGUUUCCAACAUGAAAGAUGGGGCACAAAAUAAACACACCUCCAUCUGUGGAAAACUGCAUCAAAGAAGUAAAGUUUUUGUGCACCGAUUGCCCUCUUUGUAUCACUUAAGCAGGAGGCAGGAGGCUGUUGCACUUGAAUCCGCCUUAUGCACAAUCAUUUUUGCCCUUUACUGUAAAGUACACAGCGGAUGUUUACGUGCUGAUCGAUCGCUAUGUGAUCUUUACCACAUGGCUGUGCAGUAACAAAAACACGAUAAAAUACUGCUGCUUACUUGUAAAGUUUCCCAAUAUACUUAAAACGCAACAUUUGAGAAUUUCCAAGCUGAACUUCCUGGCUCUUAUCGACUAUUUGGAUUAGCUCUCACUGGAGUGGAAACCUCCUUCACGCAGACCAUCAAGUGCUAAUUGGUUCGGAAUGGAGGGAAAGUAUCAAGGAACAGAUUCCAGAUGACACGCCAGUGAUGGAAACAUCCUUUAGGUAAAUGUAGCAGUCGGCUCCGGCGUGCCGCACCAUGCCUCAUCUGCGGGGGGGGACGUCUGAUGGAGCAAGCGGUGACGGCCAGCCGAAUCACAGGCUGCUCUUUGUGGUGUACUCUUUGAUUUAAUGGAGUGCACUGCGGCAAUUGGCGUUCCGUGUGAAAGUUAUCUGUCCCCGCCUGUAUGUGGGAAAGAAUCAGAAGCAGCGACCUCCCGGUGGGACGCAGUACAGAUGGAGCAAUUAAAGUCCAGCCACAACAAUUGCCUUUUUUUUUCUCCGAGGCAGACAUAUUGGAGUGUGAGUAGAAACAAUACAUCCAGUUUAGAAUAUUUUACUGGAGUUCAGUGAAAACAAAAUAACUAGCCACAGGAGGACGGAGCACGUGAGGCUGUGACUGAAAUAGCGAGCGAGUCUUUUGUGUCCAGGGAAUCUAUAUUUUACUGUUAAGAACUUUAUGAAAGAAAAGCUGUGUGUCUUUAUGCAACGUGUCUGCUGUUGUAUUUCAAACCUCUUAAAACAAUUCACAUUAGAUACAUUUCAACUUCAUACUCCCCAUUACUUCCCAUUACAAUAAAAGCCCACAUCAUGUACUGCGUGUUGCUUGUAUUAGGUCAUUUAUGCACUGCACGUUGGAAAGAAUGCAUGUUUCUCUCAUGUAUAAGACAUUAUUUUGAAGAGUAGACUAUCCCUGCACACCGCCCUCUAAUAGUCUUUCUCCUCUGCUCAGUGGGUGAGGGACAACAGUAGGAGGGAGUCGGAGGGAACUGUAUUUUCUCUCUCAUCAUGGGGUCGCUGUGCUCUGGAGGGGUCUGAAUCUGCGCUGAGGUUGAUGAUAUCAGGUUAUAAUUAAUACAGAAAUCAAAUUCCACCCACUUUGCACCCUCUCUGACUGGAUUACUUCUGUGUGGGUUAACGUCAUAUAGCGCUACCUUCUCCAUAUUACAUGUUUAACCUGUUUACUGUGCUUCACCCACUAAAAAUAGACACAGAUUCUUCCGGGAUACAGUCUUACAUCCUUUCGAAACCACCCUUACAAAGCUUACUUUUAGAUUUAACGCCUCUUACUCUAUUUAAAUAAAGCUAAUCUUCUCUUAAAUAAUAAAUAAAACAUAUCCUCAGAUUGCUAUUAGUCUGAUGUUUGCAUUGGAGGUGUGUUGCUGCAGCAGGAACACAGCUGGCUCACACAUCAGACACUCAGCACAUCAUCAGGUCACACAAAGAGGAACUAGUGGGCAGAAAAGCAGAGUAAGGUGCUUGGAUUAGAGUGCAGCUUCGGGACAUUUGGUCAGCAGCCUUUAUCAAAGACUCAAAGUUGUGGCUGAAUUUGUCCAGCGACUCUCUGCUGGGUCGGGGCCACCGUUCGGAUGAGCAUCCAAACUGGAAGCCUCAUUGGUGAUUUACAACAUUAGUCAGUACGUGAUUCUGUCUCGUAAUGUUCCCCAAUCAAACUUUAGUGUUGUUUUUUUUAGCUGAAAUCCAGCAGUGAGUUGUAUCCUCAAUGUUAUUUUUAUUUAUCUCACGUAAGAAGGUGUAUUUCGUCUCCUCGGGAAGAAACAUCUCCACCAUCAAAAUAAAAAUAUUUAGGACUAGUUAGACGUUAAGAAAAAUAGACCCUUGCUUUUGUAAAGAUUUUACAGAUUUACAGUAAGAUAAAAAAUAAUGACACCACUCUCUAAUAUGAAGCUAAAUAUGACGCUAACUACAGCCAGUUAACUGAACUUAGCAUAACAAAACCCCAGCGCAG
Molecule: long non-coding RNA, 5501 nt
Organism: Gasterosteus aculeatus aculeatus (three-spined stickleback)
Lineage: Eukaryota; Metazoa; Chordata; Actinopteri; Perciformes; Gasterosteidae
Source: Ensembl